CUUCACUAGAUACUCUGGUAUGUAGAUGCAGAUAGAGUGGCAGGACUGGUGCCACUGGCCUGAGGAGCCAGCCUUAUUUAGUAUCCAGCCUUCCAUAUCAUUCAGAGAGAGUAAUCCGAGCUCCUUAGGUUUUGCUUCUUUAAGACACCUGCCCCUGGUCAUGGAAGACUCAAAUGUCAGCAGGCCAGGACAGAGAAUAAAUACCUUUCCAGUCUCUCUAUUUGGCAAGCUAUUCUUCAGCUCCCCUCUUGUUUUCUGAGUCUUAUAGGUGUAUUCCUUGAAGCCAGGAAGGGUGUCAGACAAAGGAAAACACAAUAAAAGACUCCAGGUUGGAAGGACAAGUGCCUUCAGGGGCCUGAAUAAGGAAGUUUGCAGCCUACGCUGAAGAAAAGCUAGAAUGAUGCUGGCAGCAGUGUUAUCUCUCACAGAGCACUGCAAACCCAAGGGUGUGGUGACAUGCUGCUGACAGUGUGCAGGUUGCCUGUGGGCAGAAGGACAGGACUGGGGCAGGAGGCCACAGCAGGAGCAUCCUGACUUGCAUAGAACAGGGCACAUCCUCAGCUGUCAGUCUGCCCAGGUCCAGAGGCACCACCAGGCCUGAAGCAGCCUUUACCAUAACGCAGAUGAAGUUAGGGGUGGAGUGGCCUCUGAGGAGGGAGAAGGAAAACGGGAAGUUACUUUUUUGCCACCUUCUCAUGUCUAGUCUAGUUCAGGCAAUGACAAGCAUGAUAAGACAUAGCACAGCAGAAACCUUUUCUUUACCCUUCCUACGAUUUUGAUACGCCAAAUCACUCUGAGCUGCAGUACCCAAGAAACCUAUGUAUUACAUGUUGCACUGUCCCACUCAGUUUCUACUCUGAUCCUGCCCUCUGAUUUCAGCCUUGAAUUGCAGAGUGAAAAGAAGUUCAGUUUCCACAAUUCCCUCCACCAUUUCCUUUGCUAAGCUCAUUAGCUUCAUAAGACCGGAAUGAGACCACUAAGUCAUUUCCCACAGGCUGCUUAGCUGCGAUCAGAAAAGCAACAAUGACUGAUUUGGGCUGGAGUCGAACCAAAGAGCCCAUUCCUUCACACACUGUCCAAUCCAUCUGCUGAAAAUUAUUCCACACUGCACACACAAGGGCAGAAAUCCUGCUUUAAAACAUAUAUUAGGUUCCAUUUAUGUGAUUUGCCUAUGUAUUCCCAGGCUUUCCAGGAUUUUAAUUUUCCCCCUGGCUAUCUGAAUUCCAGAUUUUGUGGAAUAAAUCCCAAUGAAGUGUUGAUUCGUUAACAGAAACAAGAUUAGAUUUAAGGAAAAAAAAAAAGGAAUUUGCAGAAUAGAUACUAUCCUGCCAUUGUUCUACAAAACAGAACAAGGUUUUAAAGCUGAUAAGGA
Molecule: non-coding RNA, 1372 nt
Organism: Meleagris gallopavo (turkey)
Lineage: Eukaryota; Metazoa; Chordata; Aves; Galliformes; Phasianidae
Source: RefSeq, a predicted model, not a curated record